AUAGGCAACAGAGCUGCUGUGGCACUAUGGAUCAAAUGCAUCCGGAUUUACUUUCAUGCCCCUGAGUUAAGGUGAAGAGAGGAUCAAGAUUGGAUCUUUCAAAGAUGAAGCUGCAAAAAAAAAAAAAAAAAAUGAAUGGAGCAAUGUAAUCUACUCAGAGCGAAAGCACUGAACAUUUGAGAUAUGAUGAAGCUGCUGAGGCAUGUCGUUGUCAGUAGAUUGUGGUAACACUGCUCCAAUAAUGGCAAGUCCCACCUGACUGCAAUUGCUCAACUACUUUAAAAGAUGUAUGCUGAUUUAUCCAACCUACCUGUCAACUUACCCAGCUGUGCAGGAAUUAUAAUUGCACAUUUGAAAGCUCUAUCUUCAAAGCGUAUCAAUAUUUUUAGAAGAACAUCCCGUUCAAGAUAAGUAUGAUCAUCAUUCUCAAGAACAUGUCUUCCUUCAAAGGAACAGAGGACUGGAAGGGAUCUUUGGGGUCAUCCUGUUCAGUCUCCCGCUAUUGCAAGCAGUCCCUUUGUAGACAAUCUUUCCCCUUCUUGCACAUAUGCAACAAACAGAGAAUGUGUAUGCUGCUAGAGCUUGGGUAGAGAGUUUGGGGUGGAGAAAGGAAGAGUAUGAAAGGAGGAAGCAAGGGUUUCUCCUAUGUGGGAACUGCUUCACUGUGAAAAGCGUGAUUAACUCCACUUGAAGAACACUUAGAAAUACAAGAAUGCAAUUAUGCCACAUUGAAAUUAGGUGGGAUAUGGACAUAAAUGUAAUAUUGUUUGAAUUGUACUGCUUCCCGUGUAAGAGUUUCUGCUGAACUGUGUAGGAAUGAGUGUA
Dermochelys coriacea (leatherback sea turtle) is the source of this 825-nucleotide long non-coding RNA. RefSeq lists it as uncharacterized. NCBI's taxonomy places the organism in Eukaryota, Metazoa, Chordata, Testudines, Dermochelyidae. The transcript is spliced from 3 exons. The record is from RefSeq and is a predicted model, not a curated record.